UUAUCUUCACAGCUGAAGUAGUCAUGUUCCGAGUCUUGCUCAUCUUCACAUAGAUCAACACCUGAUUCAGACUCAUCGGAUUCAGACCUGUCAUUAGCAUCUUCCAAGUCAUCGGAUUCAGACUCACCAUCUUCCGUAAAUAUAGACAGGUCGUCAUCAUCCUGUGUCAUUACCAGGUGGACCCCGAAGCUAUUAAAACGCAGCGAAUCUUGUGUCAAAUUCUGAAAAUUAACUUGACACGCAAAAGGCGACUGCGGCCAGGUAAUCUGAUCAUCCCGGUAAAACAUUUCUCUGAAUCGAAUAUAGCACAGCCACACAUGACCUGACCCUAUCUUUCUGAAAUGGUAAUCGAACUGAAUAUAAUGAGGUACCACUUCUGGUUGAUUGACGGAAAUUUUUGUUAGAAAACCAUGGUAACGUCGUCUUUUAUUUUGCGGGUUUUCAACAGCAGCAUAUAGAGCCAAUCCUUGGUUCUGGCAUUUGAAGUUUGGAGGGAUUUCAAUCAAAAGUUCACAUGCUUCAUCACGCUCCUUCACAUCGUUAUGACAGCUGAACAACGUCGAGAGAGCUUCAAAACUUGCUGGAAAUACAACCUGAAAUCCAUGUUUCUGUGAAGACAGAAGGUGAUCAAAGAAGAGUGUGAUCUGCUCCUUUGGUAGAAUGUUUGGUUUCUUUGGGAGGUCACGAGCCAGAUUGCCGCACAGUCUCUGGCAAUUACACAAGUCCACCAACUCAAUCAUUUGUGAGUCUUUUUUACCUUUCAGAAUGUUGGACAAUGAUGAAAACCUUUCCAAUGAUAUGCAAUCACUCGCCUCUAACUUUACUAUUUUUGGUGGAAGUUCCGGAAUAUCUUGAAGCCUCUUGCAGCCAUGCAAGUAAAGCUCCCGCAAAUUGACAAAUUUCAUAAUGCAUACGGGAAUACUUACAAGGAAAUCACUUCUUGUUAGAUCAAGUGCACUCAAUGUAGACACACAAUCAAGAGUUCUGAGGAAAUUAAUUUCUGAUAAAUUGCUUCCUUCCAAAGUGAAUGCCUCAAGUCUGGGAAGCGCUAAAGGAUGUGAUACUGCACUCCCCAAAACUUCAGACUUCACUUUAUUUGGAAAUGUAACAAGCUUUCGACUUCCUUGGAGACAAACGUGGUUUAGAUGUUCCAACUCAUAAAUGCUGGGUGGCAGAUUCGUAAGAUUUUCACGAUUCCUUAGGUCUAAAAAUUCAAGACUGAUGAGAUAUGCAAUUGAUGCAGGCAAUUCUUUGAAGCCACUACCAGAUAGAAACAUGCAACGUAAGGAAUCCAUCUUUCCCCCAAUUUCAGGGAAAGUCUCCAGUCUUCUGCAAUCUUCAAGAUUGAGAACUUGUAGAGAUUUUGACUGGAUUAUUGGAAAUAGUGUGAGGUUAUAGCAUCUCACAAGACUCAAGUCAACAAGCUUAUCAUGAAAUCCAACAGAAGGAUGAACCUCAACUAAACUCGUGCAGUCGUCCAGAUUCAAGGACUGUAAGUUUGGAAUUCCAGAGAUAUUUGGGGUUUUUGUUAGGAAUUCACAGCUCUCAAAAUUCAUGGACUUCAAAUUUUGCAAACGCUAUAUGAGACAAAAAUAGAAAAGAAAAAGAAGGAUCAAACGAUAAGGCAUAAACAAGUGCAAGCCAUAACUCCAAAAACUUAAUAAACUUUUGAAAAUACGAAGGGAUGAAAAUAAUUUAAAUUACCUUGAAUCCCUCCCCAAGUUGUGACAAGCGGCUACAAGGCAUAUAAAGUUCAACAAGUUUACUUGGAUUGAAAGUAGAUGGUAAAGUUUGUAGAGGACAAUCAGGCCAAUGAAGAAACCUCAACUCAUUAGAUAGAUAAUCCACGUGAUCACCAUAAAAUCGUGCAUUCACAUUGAUGAAAAGUCGAAGGUUUUUCAUCUCUGAGAAGCUGUCACCACUCAAGCAUAUGUCAUCUGGUGUCGGAAACUUUGCUAUGAUGCCUUUAAUAUUGUUUGUUCCCUAUUAUCAAAAAGCAGUAGUGUUAACAUACAAAGCUCUUUAGCAAAUAAAAAUGCAAGUGUACACAUCACACACACAGACUUACUGUUCCUUCUGUUAGAACACGAUAAACAUCCUCGUGAAACCACAAUCUGCUACGUUCACCAGGCUCAUCUGGCGACUCUUGAUAAACUAUUCCUCUACCCAAUUCUUCAAGCAAGUCAUGCAUCCCAAUUAUGCCUUGUUCAAUAUUUAUGAGGGCCUUGUCUACGAGUACUUUAAUAGCAUACUUAGGCUUGAGGUCACAACCUUCCAGGAUCGGUAUCACAUGGUUCACCUUUCUACCGUUAAAGAAACAUGCUAUAUCAAGGAAGACUUCUUGCACCGAAUAUUCCAAUGCAUCAUAGCUUAUUUUGAGAGUUUUUUUAAUGUCCGAGUGCAGAUUCCCAUCCAAUGCAUCAUGCCACUCAUCUAUACUUCUACCACAUAGAUGGGAACCUAAAACCUUGAGAGCUAAAGGAAGACCUUGAGCAUGCUUCACCACAGUUUCUGCAGCUUUCACAUAAUCAUCAUCCAAAUUUUUAUUUCUCCCACCAUUCCAACUAAUGAAGAGAUCAAGAGAUUCACCAAAGUUUAAUUUCUUGGCCUUGUAUAUAAUACUAACUUGAUGAGAUCUUAGCAAAUGCUUAUCUCUUGUCGUUAUGAUAAUUCUACUGCCCAAACCAAACCAAUCACAACCUCCAACUAAGUUGUUUAAUUGGUCCAAAUGAUCCACAUCAUCUACAAUUACAAGGACCUUUUUACCACUCAACCUUUCCUUUAUCACACUGAUUCCUUUAUCGGCACUGGUAACCUUUAUUUCCUUUCCUCUUAGAAUCUCAUAAAGAAGAAGAUUUUGUAGGUCGACUAGGCCUCCAUAUGGUAUUGAUCUUUCUCUUACAUUUUCCAGAAAACAACUCCCUUCAAACACAUGGGCCAGUGAGUUAUAAACAGCUUUAGCAACAGUUGUCUUUCCUAUUCCACCAUUCCCCCAUAUUCCUACCAUGCGAACAUCAUUUCUGUCAACGUCUAAAACUUUACGAAUAUCUAGUACACGAGCCUCUAUUCCAACUUGGUAUUUUGCCACAUUGAUAUGGGUAUCCUUUAAUACUUGUAAGGAAAUCUCGUUGACAAUGUUCUGAAUAAAUUCAGUUUCAGGGCUGCCAAUUUUAAGCACAAACAACAUUUAAAUAAAAUGGGAUUUUUCUAUAUAUGUUUUAAAGAAGUGCUCGACUCGAUACUAGUGUAAAUUAUGUCGUGAAUUUUAGAUGAUGGAGUUACUACAUCAUGAUAUUUGAUAUGUCUAGACACUUCUUCUUAUUAAAAUCUCGGUUUAUUAGUUAAAAGUUGGACUCAACAUCCAUAACUGUCUUACAUUUAUCAAGAAGAAUAAUUAAAUGAGGGUUUUAUAAUCAACAUAAGGAAGAGCUGUUUGGUAGGUAUCUAAGACUAAUAAAUUAAUUAAGUAUUUUGUUCUUGGAAAUUAUGUAAUUUAUGGACAACAUUUUAUAUAUGUUUGUUGCAUGUUAUCAUAUACCAUAGGCUUAAUUUUUUCAAAUCCUCUAGGUGUGGGAUUGCCCUGGAGAGAGAGAGAGAGAGAGAGAGAGAGAGAGAGAGAGAGAGAGAGAGAGAGAGAGAGAGAGAGAGAGAGAGAGAGAGAGAGAGAGAGAGAGGUGGUGGAUGGGAUAGAGGAAGGUGGAGGGAGGGUCAUAAGAGAGGCGUGAGUGCGGCUGUUUAUGGCAGGGAUGGGUUGAUUUGAGAACUUAUUAUUUUUUUCACAAUAUUAAACCCAAAUAAAUAAGUUAGGGAAAGUACAUCAAACAUGGUUUUCUUCUUCUGUCUUACACUCCCCUUCUAUUUUCUUACUCUAUCGUUUAAUCGCUCUUCUCGAUUUCUCCUUACUAAACAAUUGUUUAUCAAACAUGUUACUAUUGUAAUAGAUUUUGAUGUUGUCUUUUGUCUAUUUUUGCUCAUUUUGCUUCAAGAUCUUGAAUUUGUCGUUUGGUGGUUGACAAAUGAAGUGCAGAAAAUAUAUCUAAUCUGUAGUUUCUAUUCAUUUUCAGUACUUUUGAUUGCAUAUCUUGAAUUUAUAUUGUUUGAUGGCUGAGAACAUGAGGGAAAAACAAACAAUUAGAAAAUUCAUGAACAAGCUAUGAUGUUAGGGAAAGCUUGUGAUGGAAUGGACACUACGAUAACAAUAGAAGAGAUUGGUUUUCGUAACAGAGUGAUUUUAUUAGAAAGGAGAGAUGUACACUGCUUGCUUGGUGUAGAACUAUGAGGCUAUUAAUAAUGUAGCUAUUGGUUGGCUAAUUGGCCUUUCAGUGAUGUAACUAUUUGCUACUUAGUGGGUUUGUAAGAUUGCAGGAUUUCAUCCAACACAAAAAAUAAAGGACUGCAGGAUUCCACUGGCAUAUUACACAAAGCCUUGUAAUCUCCUCUGUUUCUAUUAGAUUGUGUGAGGCUUAGAUAUAAGAAUAGUGUUUGGCUUUCUAGUAGAUUUCUUAGUUACAAUUCACAUUACAACACUUCAAUCCUAUUUAUUGGCAAUGUUUUCCGGCAAGUUUGCCGACUUGACCAACCACCAUGUCUACUACUUGGCUUUAUCAAAUAUUAUCAGCCACAUAAGCUGCAGCUUGCUCUAGACUGGAGCAUUCUACAAAACUCCUUAUAUGUUUGUGGCUAUUUGUUUAGCCGGCAAAGUUCACCGACUUGGUCAUUUAGUCCAGUAGCUACCCUCUUCUAGAUUCUACUACAAUUAUCUUAGAUAUCUGAUAGCUAUUGUAGCACUUUGGGAUUCUAAAUUAUUACUCUAGAGAUUUCUACCAAAUGUCCAUCACAUUUUAACAGUUAAAAUAACAGAUUCUGCAACCCUGGGAGAAAUAAAUUGAAAUUAAGGCAGAGCCUCCUGAUCCUAAAUGUAUAUUAAAGAUAGAAAUAUACCGCAUUCAGAAAAGAAAAAAAACAUACCCCUCCAAGUAAUGCGACCCAGACAAAUUUGCAGCUUCUGUAAGGGUUUCCUUCCAUCUCAGCACCUUCUUCAUAUUGUCCUCGAAUUUACUUUCAUCAUGGUUAGUAAGUCUCUGUUCUUUGAAUUUGCGUUCAUGGUUAUUCAGUGCCUCGCCAUAACUACCUCUUUGGUUCCUUACAUCUGAGGGAUCCACUUUGUAGAAAACUGGCCAAACCAUCUGUUGCUUUGAUUUUCUACACUGAAUGAUAUGAACAAGUUCAUCCAAGCACCACUUCGAGGAUGCAUAGUUUUCAGAGAAUACGAUGAUGGAACACCUCGAUCCUUCAAUUGCAUCAAGAAGUGCUUGUGAUAUUUCUUCUCCUCUUGGGAGCUCAUCAUCUAUGAAGGUUCUGAUGCCCCUCUGGACCAAAUUUUUGUGUAGAUGGUCUGUGAAAUUGUAGCGUGUGUCCUCACCUCUAAAGCUGAGAAACACAUCGUGUGUCCAUGAAUUGGUGAAAGAAGAAGAAGAAGAAGGGGAAGGAGCUCCUAAUAAUUGAGUGGUGCUUAGAUCCAUAUUGUUGAAAAUUGAACAGGCUGAAAGGGUUGGAAAUUAUGGUGAUUUAUUGUCCAAGAGUUUCUGGUUGGCAAUGUCAGUGGAGAGAAGAAACAUGCGAGUGAAAAAUCUUGGUCUUUCUGGGCCCCAAGAGCUCCUACCCCUGCUGGGUCUCUCUAGACCCGAGGGACAGUUUAACCAAAAAUAAACGUAGUAAUAAUAACACACUGGUAACAGCACUCUCACCCAAUUGUCAUGACAAAUAGCAAGGGCUGUUACUAUUUAUGCAAAAUUGGUCAAAGAAAGUAUUCGGUACUCUGUCAUUAAGACAAUUUACGCCCCACUACAUUGCUCAUGGUUGCGUUUGUCUCCUAAAAUACAACCACCACUUACAAUUGUAACUUUUUUCAUUUUACAUUUCAAACUUCAAAUCCAGUCGGCAAUUAGACCAGUAUUAACUAGUACAUGCAGUUACAUAAAAAUUUGAAUGCAAACCCUUUGUGUCUAGAAACAAUUCUGCACUAAAAAUAGUUUUCAGUUCAACAUUGGUCGUGUGUGUUUAUUUUCUUGUCUCACCACAACAACUUCCAAAACCACAGCAAAGCUAGCUGCAGUCAUUUUGUCACAAAAUUGUUCGUUUGUUAAAAAUAGUUUAUGGUUUAAUGGUUUGUUCUGUUAAGGGAAAGCUUGGUUGCAAUAAUUAAACUUUUGGUUUAUAUAUAAUUCCUUUAAAUCCAAAUGUAAGAACCAUUAAUUCAUCCGCUAAUAGCUUGCAAAAAUUGAUUAAAAUGGAAAAACAAAAAACAAAUACACAUCAAAUUAAUAGUACAGUUAUAUAUAUGCAAGAUUAGACUAAUAUUUUAAACAUGUUUACAAGGUGUUCACCAAGGCACAAAACGGUCCAUAAGCAAACAGACUGUGGCCUCUGAAAGCGUAGAGGAAUCCAAGUCCCUCUGAAUCUGAGCCAUUCUGCUGCUCUCUUUUCUUGCUUCUUUCAACACUUGUUCUUCUUCAACCUCAUCAUCACCCUCUCCUUGUUUGCCCUUUGAUGAAAACACCAUUCGCUUCUUAGCUCCUACCUUGUCUUUCAGCUUUGCAAACUCGCUCAUCCAAACCUCCACCACUGCAGACAUAAUUGAACUACUUGAAAACUUGAAAUUAUUGCUUGGUCUUGACUCUUGAGUUUGAUCAAGGAUGAUGAGGAGAGCUGGCUAUUAUGCUUGUUGGGUUAUAUAGAAGACAGAGAGAGAGAGAGAAAGAAAGAGGGCCUUGCCCUUCAUGUGGUUUGGAUUGGAUGAAAAAUAAGUGUGUCACAGCCGUUGGAUAUAGGUUCGCACACAGGAUUUAGUUUUAGGAAUAUUCGUUGGAGAGAGAGAGAGAGAGAGAGAGCAGAAGUGGGGUAUGAGUUUUGUGGAGUGAAUGAAAAGCUUCUCCGUGGGCGUGUGUCCUCACCUCUAAAACUGAGAAACACAUCGUGGGUCCAUGAAUUGGUGAAAGAAGAAGAAGAAGAAGGGGAAGGAGCUCCUAAUAAUUGAGUGGUGUCUAGAUCCAUAUUGUUGAAAAUUGAACAGGCUGAAAGGGUUGGAAAUUAUAGUGAUUUAUUGUCCAAGAGUCUCUGGUUGGCAAUGUCAGUGGGCAGAAGAAUCAUGUGAGUGAAAAGUCUUCGUCUAUGUGGGCCCCAAGAGCCCCUACCUCUGCUGGGUCUCUCCAAUCUAGGAGAAAUUAUAGAGUAGUACCGUAUCACCACGUCAGCUGGUGAUACUUCCACUCAAAAUAUGCCAUGUGUAAUUUUUUAAAAUUAAUUAUUCUUCAUUACAGCUGGACUUUAUUUUUAUCCGCUGAAAUAAAUUAGAAAAAUAAAAAACUUAAAAAAAAAAAGAGAGAAUAUCCCAGCAACCCAACCCUUACCCCCACGCCACCCCUCUGUCGUCGUCUUCCGACUGCCAUCAACAGUCAUUAGUAAGAGAGCCAAAUCCCCACAGCCUAAUAAAUUUUUGCAACAAGGAAACUUCAUCAUCAUUGUCAAUGAAUGUUAAUAUAUGAUGGAGUUUAUUAGAUCCAAUAUAAUACCCAACACAAUCAACCCUUUCCAUAUCAAUUUCAUGCUGGUCGAUUUGUAGCCUGUUUGUUAUAGACCCACCUCCCAUCCCAACCUUCUUCACAUCUGCUAGUGAGACCUUCAUCAAUGAAAAAAUAUAUAUGGAUCUUGGGGUAGUCACCAAAAGGUUGAGAAAGUUGAAGAACGGCAACAGAGAGAGAGAGAGAGAGAGAAAUAAAUAAAAGAGAGGGACGGGGCGGCGACCAGAGCGGCGGUGCGAGGUAGGCAUGUUGGGGGUAGGCUGUGGCUAUGCUCUUUUUUUUUCCAUUGUUUAUUUUCUUAAUUUUAUUUUAAAGGGUAAAAAUUAGGUUAAUGUCCAGUUGUAAAAUAAAGUUUGAGUUGUUAAAAAAUAAAGACACAUGUCAUAUUUUGAGUGGGAAUAUCACCAGCUGACGUGGUGAUACGGUACUACUCUAUAAUUUCUCCCAAUCUAGACCCGAGGGACAGUUUUAAUUUUAUAUGAUUAUUUAUAAUUCCAACAGCUAUAUUUUAUAAUUAUCUUUUUGUUUUGCUUUCUCUUUUCGUUAUAUUUUCUUCUUUUUAUUUAUAAUUAUUGUUUAUCUUUAUUAAUGAUUGUCGUUUAUUUUUUCAAAUUCAAUGAUAAAUCACAUAAUUCAGGUCCUUUAGAAAACUACUUUCAGGUCCUUUUCACUAAUAACCAAAAUAAAUACAACCAAAUUAAUAAAUGGCUUGGCAUGAGGAGUUUAUGGCAUGGGAGCUAAGCUUUCACAAGUUUAGCAAUUUAAGAAAGAGAAAGCAUGAGUUUCUUGCAUAAUACAAAGAUCAAAAUGGGGCAGAAGAAAAUUAGGAGGAUUCCUAUCUUAGGGAAAGAAGAAAACAGCGAGAGAAGAAGAUUGGGUGGCUUGAGUAAAUUCUCAGUUGCUUGACAAAGCUUGGUCAGGCUCUGGAUGAUGAUUUUGCUGGGUAAUGAGCCCUUUGUGGUUCCAAGGGUUUGACGCAGCUGGACCUCCUCAUGAAGGUGAGGCGCACUUGCUUUCCUUCUUGGUUUUCAAAACGGAGCUAACAGAGGAAAAGAAAACAGGUAUAGUCUUUUGCCCGGUGGGUACUUUCCUUACAUACAUGGAUUUCCUUUGGUUCCUGCUAUGGCUUCCCAUUGACUGUCUUGAAGCUUUGACAAAGAUGGAGCACGAUGUCAGAUUUUUAUAAGGCGUUGGGCUGGGCUUGUGUGUACAGUGUUGGGUUAUUAACGUAUUAUCUCCAGCAUCUAAUGGGUUUUCAUCAAGCUGCCGGAAAUAGCUUACUUAUCUUAGGCAUUUUUACUGAUGUAGGUUUAUCUAAGUGUCAUAAUAGGUUACUAGAUGUCCUCCUAAGGCAUUGGACCAUUCUUUUCUCCUUCUUUCAUGCUAACCCAUGUAUUUGGGCCUGAAGAAUGGGCCUGAGUUUUAAUACUCCCAAGUAGCUUAAAACUUUCAUUCCUCGAACCCUCAAUGGGCCCUGUGAUUGCUUGUUUCCUUCCAUACCACAACAUUCUCAGCAAGCCCCGGGUAAUUUUGUGGCUUGGACUCACUUAAGCUUGUGGCACAGCUUGGUAUUAGAAUAGUGGUCCUUUGCACGGCAUUUAUUUAACAUGCUUGCAUUUGAGUUUUUAUCAUGCCGUGAUAGGCUAUAAUUGGGCCAAGUAACACUGGAUGGGUAGAUGAGCAUGAUUUUGUGGAGCCGGUAUGCUCUUGACCCCUUUUGUGCAUGCUUGCUUGGUAUGACACGUGAAUUGUGGCUUGCAUUGAUGCGUCCUUCAAAUUCUCUUUUGUUCCGAUCGGGCUCCUUUUGCAUUCAAUCUCUCUGUGUUAGGCCAGAAAUUGAUCUGGGCCUAGCUCCUUGAAUUUCUAGGCCUCAACAAAUGCAAAUCCUUUGUGACUAAAAACAAUUCUGCACUAAAAUUUUUGAAAAAUAAUAUCGAUGCCUUUAUCAACAAAAUGGCCUAAUUCACAGAAUUUAGGUAAAUUUUAAACAAAAAUUGAUUAAAAAAACCAGAGAAAUGCCAUCAUAUUUUAAUCCCCACUAGAUACAUGCACAUAAGACGCGCUUAGGAUAUUCAUUCGGAUAUAAAAUCAAUAGGAUCCAAAAUUUGGUGUUUAUCAGAUUUAGGAUGAUAAGCUAAAUUUGAUAGUCUCAAUACGACUUGAAUUGAAUUCGGUAAUCUUAUUAUAAUUCACAUUGUUUGUUAACUUGUAAUAUAAUCACCUUAAAUCACUCAAACUCACUAUGCAACACAUUUCAUUCAAUUCUUUUGUGUCAAAAUAAUUGACUACUUGAACAUCUUUUAAAAGUUUCAUUACGUCAAUGGGGUAUAACUCAGUUGACUAAGCUCUUCCACCUCCACUCAUGUAGGCAAAAGUUCGAGACACUCAGGCACCUAAUGAAUAUUUGUGUAAACCACCCCCCCAAUCACUUGUACUAUAUAAAAAAAUUCAUUACAAAUUUUCAUGUUUUUCUUAUCAUUUCCAUUAUUUUUAAAAAAAAAAUCUAGUUUUUAUCAAUAUCGAAAAUUUUUCACGUAUAUAUAUUUCCAAAUUUUUAGACCACAAAUAUUUUUGAAACCAUCGAUAUUUAGUACCUUACUUCUUACCAAAAAACUUUCUGUAAGGAUUGUAUUUUGACAUGUUUGUUGUUUGGCUCUUCUCUUGUAUUUCACAAAACCAUUGUAUUAAUUCUUGUUAUAGACUAGAGGUUGUGUCUGAAAUAGAUUGAAGAUAAAUUCGAGUCCUCACGUUGCUGCCAAAGGUAAAUCUCACAUGCAUUCUCACUGGAUUAAUACAUGUUCACGUGUAUUAAUCCAACAUUCAUUCUUACGUGUUUGCUGCAACAUUUCUCUUUAUUUCAGCUUUGACAGACUUUCUUAAAACUCUGUCUACAAAAGGAAUAAUUCUAUCUUUGGUGGUGGUGUCUUGAGCCGCUCCCAUGCUAAAAGUCUGGAGCUUGAAAAAACAGUGUGAUUUUCAAAAGCUCUAUAUAUAUAUUCUUCUAGACAGAGUUGCAAAAACAACUUUUUGACUCAUGCAUUUUUAAUAGAUGACUUAUGCCUUCUUUCUAGAUAUACUCUGGACAUGAAAACCGAGAGGGAAUAAAACUCUGAAAAGAGUUUGCCUUCAGCCAAAGUUCAUAUCCUGAGGGUUAUGAGAAUGAUUGCAUUCACAUAAAUGCUUCCCCAAGAUGACUUUAAAGCUUUAAUGGCUGGCUGUUUUUUCUUCACUUCAAUCUUCUUUAAUGUUUCAGCUAGUAUAUGUUACUUGAGAGUAUACGAUUGAUAGUAUACAUAUAACCUUCUCCGUGUAUACAUUUACAAGAUUGCGGCUGCAAACCUUUUCUUUGUUGUUGUUAUGUUGAAUUAAACUACAUGCUUCAAGUACUUUACUUCUAGUUUAUUCUUCACGACACUUAGGUUUCAUUUGUCUAGCUCAAUUAUUCUCUGUGAUUGAGAUAGAUGAAUCUUGAAAUCAUGACUCACCUCAUACAUCAAAAUUACAUACAACUAGAGCUUGGUGCUCUUGAGAGGAUUUGCUGCUACGAGAUAAAGAAAAGGUGCUUGUUGAAAGGUUGAUUGAAGCUGCCUAUAGGUGAUAGAUUGAGCUAAGUCUUCUUUCAUUUUUCUUGUAUUUCUUAAUGAGUGGAUUGGAUCUCUCCUGAUUUGGUGCUCCCAGUUUUUCACCUACUUGGGUUUUCUGGGUCAACAACUCCUGUGUGUCGUUUACUUUCAGCUGUUAAUUGUCUUCCCUUAUUAAUCACAUAAUUGUUUGUAUGUGUAUGUGUACGACUUAACAGAACUUUUUAAAAUUGGUAGGUCUUUGACCGGUAGCCUACUUCACCCCCCUUUGUAGGCUCUUAGAGCUUAGGGUUUGGUUUUACACGUUCCUUAUUUAUUGUAAAAUUAAUGAGACUAACUAUUUAUAACAAAAGCCAUAAUUUCACUCAUAAUAAGCAUCAAUAUACAUUACAGAUGCGAAGUAUUUUCCUGUCAUCUUCAUAGUGGAUGUGAAGUCAAAGGAAAUAAGAAAAUGGUCAAAAGGAAACACCGACAAACCACAAAAUGAAAAAGAAAAAAGAAGCAUCAAUACACUUUCGUUGCAACAUUGGUGUUUACCAAGUAGUUGGGGUGUGGAAAAAAAAGAAGACAAAAGGUCGAUUGUUGAUGAAGUUGACUGAAAUAGAUCAGGAUUUUCAAAAUUAACCUCCAUAAUUGUUAGAAGACAAAAUUUUGUUAUUGGCGAGUCAAUUAAUUCAUAAAAUUGAGCUUUCACAUUGGUGAAAAGUUGAAGGUUUUUCAUCUUUGAGAAGCUGUCAUCACUCAAGCAUAUGUCAUCUGGUGUCGGAAACUUUGCUAUGAUGCCUUUAAUAUUGUUUGUUUCCUAUUAUUAAAAAAAAAAAGAAGUUGUUUUAACAUACAAAGCUUUAUAGCAAAUAAAAAUGCAAGUGUACACACACACAGAGACUUACUGUUCCUUCUGUUAGAACACGAUAAACAUUCUCGUGAAAUCACAAUCUGCUACGUUCACUAGGCUCAUUUGGCGACUCUUGAUAAACUAUUCUUCUACCCAAUUCUUCAAGCAAGUCAUGCAUCCCAAUUGUGCCUUGUUCAAUAUUUAUGAGGGCCUUGUCUACGAGUACUUUAAUAGCAUACUUAGGCUUGAGGUCACAACCUUCCAGGAUCGGUAUCAUAUGGUUCACCUUUCUACCGUUAAAGAAACAUGCUAUGUCAAGGAAAACUUCUUGCACUGAAUAUUCCAAUGCAUCAUAGCUUAUUUUGAGAGUUUUUUUAAUGUCCGAGUGCAGAUUCCCAUCCAAUGCAUCAUGCCACUCAUCUAUACUUCUACCACAUAGAUGAGAACCUAAAACCUUGAGAGCUAAAGGAAGACCUUGAGCAUGCUUCAGCACACAUUCUGCAAGUUCCACAUAAUCAUCAUCCAAAUUUCUAUUUCUUGUAAAACCAUUCCAACUAAAGAAGAGAUCAAGAGAUUCAUGAUAAUUUAAUUUCUUUGCCUCGUAGAUUAUACUAACUCAAUGAGAAGUUAGCAAAUGCUUAUCUCUUGUCGUUAUGAUAAUUCUACUGCCCAAACCAAACCAAUCACAACCUCCAACUAAGUUGUUUAAUUGGUCCAAAUGAUCCACAUCAUCUACAAUUACAAGGACCUUUUUACCACUCAACCUUUCCUUUAUCACACUGAUUCCUUUAUCGGCACUGGUAACCUUUAUUUCCUUUCCCCUUGGAAUCUCAUAAAGAAGAAGAUUUUGUAGGUCGACUAGGCCUCCAUAUGGUAUUGAUCUUUCUCUUACAUUUUCCAGAAAACAACUCCUUUCAAACACUUGGGCCAGUGAGUUAUAAACAGCUUUAGCAACAGUUGUCUUUCCUAUUCCACCAGUCCCCCAUAUUCCUACCAUGCAAACGUCAUUUCCGUAAACAUCUAAAACUUUAUGAAGAUCUCGUACACUAGCCUCUAUUCCAACUUGGUAUUUUGCCACAUUGAUAUGGAUAUCAUUUAAUACUUGUAAGGAAAUCUCGUUGACAAUGUUCUGAAUAAAUUCAGUUUCACGGCUGCCAAUUUGAAGCACAAACAACAUUUAAAUAAAAUGGGAUUUUUCUAUAUAUAUUUUAAAGAAGUGCUCGACUCAAUACUAGUGUCAAUUAUGUCGUGAAUCUAUAUAUAUAAAGCAAAAAGCAGAGAAUGGUGAAACAUUCAAAAUACCAUAAAUGUCAUUGAUUAAUGCAAACAUUAAGAAUUGAAAUUAUUAAUUAAAUGAGGAUAAUAUGGUAAAUUCACACUUUUUCAUAUUAAAAAUAAAUUAAAAUUAAAAGAAAAAAAAUUAGAAAACACGUGACCAAGCUAUGAUGUUAGGGAAAGCGUGUGAUGGAAUGGACACUAGGAUAACAAUAGAAGAGAUUGGUUUUCGUAACAGAGUGAUUUUAUUAGAAAGGAGAGAAGUACACUGCUUGGUAGCUAUUAUAGAUAUUUGAUACUAUUAUCUUCAAUAUUUGAUAGCUAUUAUAGCAUUUUCGGAUCCUAAAUUACUCUAGAAAUUUCUACCAAAUGUCCAUCAUAUUUUAACAGUUACAAUAACAGAUUCUGCAACCCUGGGAGAAAUAAUGUAGCUAUUGGUUGGCUAAUUAGCCUUUCAGUGAUGUAACUAUUUGCUGCAAUUUAUAUUACUGUUGUAUUGAUUCAAUUAUAUUUAUAUAAAAUAUAUUCGUUGGUUUUUAUUAUUUUGUUAUUUUGGUUUUAUACUGAUUGUUUUACAACAACUAGUACAUCAGUCGUUAAACACCUUGCAAUUACAUAAAAAUUUGAAUGCAAACCCUUUGUGUCUUGAAACAAUUCUGCACUAAAUUUUUUGAAAAAUAAUGUUGAUUCCUUUAUCGACAAAAUGACUAAUUCACAAAAUUUAGGUAAAUUUUAAACAAAAGUUGAUUAAAAAAGACAAGAGAAAUGCCAUCAUUUUAAUCCCCACUAGAUACACGCACAUAGUGGAUGUGAAGUAGUUUCCUGCCAUCUUCAUAGUGGAUGUGAAGUCAAAGGGAAUAAGAAAAUUGUCAAAAGGAAACACCGACAAACCACAAAAAGAAAAAGACAAAAGAAGCAUCAAUACACUGUCAUUGCAACAUGGGUGUUUACCAAGUAGUUGGGGGUGUGGAGAAAAAAAACAAAAACAAAAGGUCGAUUGAUGAUGAAAGAUAACUAAAAUAGAUCAGGAUUGUAAAAAAUAACCUCCAUAAUUGUUACAAGACAAAAUUUUGUUAUUGGCGAGUUAGUUAAUUCACAACGCGUCAUGCUAACUAUUAGAUAGAAAAGUAUUCAUACGUGAGUUUAAUAUAUUAUCGUCUUUCUCAAUAAGAAAUGUGAAACAUUCAAAAUACCAAAAAAUAUCCUUGGUUAAUGCAAACAUUAAGAAUUGAAAUUAUUAAUUAAAUAAGAAUAAUAUGGUAAAUUCAUACUUUUUUAUAUUAAAAAAAUUAAAAUGAAAAGAAAAAUCAGAUAAUGAAUCUUAUUUUUAUGAGACACAACUACUCAUCAUCUUUUUAAUUCUAAAAUAAUUUUUUUUUCUUCAAAAAGCCUCUCACAAGCGCAAAAGCUCGUGCGGAGAUGCUAGUUAUAAAUAAAUAAAAACUAGUGUAUUUUGUUUUUGUUUGUUUGUUAAAAAAUAAUAUAUGGUUUAAUGGGUUGUCCUGUUAAGGGAAAGCUUAGAGGCAAUAAUUUAAACUUUUGGAAAAACAAUAAUCCCAAAUGUACGAACCAUUCAUCCGCUAAUAGCUUGCGAAAAUAUAAUUAAAAUGGGAAAACAAAAAACAAAUACACUAGUAAUAAGUUUAUGUAUCCACUAAAACUUAAUUACAUGGAGGCAAUCCAAUGGAUCACUAAUGAUUUUUUCAUCAAAACAACCUAGUUAUAUAUAAUUACCGAAAAAACUAAUGACUCAUUUUUCAUGGCCAGAGAAGCGAGCAAAGGUCCUUCAACAAAUAAAACAUGUGUACAAGGUGUCACCAAGGCACAAAACGGUCCAUAAGCAAACGAACUUUGGCAUCUGAAAGCGUAGAGGAAUCCAAGUCCCUCUGAAUCUGAGCCAUUCUGCUGCUCUCUAUUCUUGCUUCUUUGAACACUACUUGUUCUUUAACCUCAUCAUCACCUUCUCCUUGUUUGGCCUUCGAUGAAAACACCAUUCGCUUCUUAGCCCCCACCUUGUCUUUCAGCUUUGCCAACUCGCUCAUCCAAACCUCCACCACUGCAGACAUGCUUGAACUUGAAAACUUGAAAUUCUGGCUUGGUCUUGACUGUUGAGUUUGAUCAAGGAUGAUGAGGAGGGCUGGCUAUUAUGGUUGUUGGGUUAUAUAGAAGAGAGAGAGAGAGAAAGAGAAAGAGGGCCUUGCCCUUCAUGUGGUUUGGAUUGGAUGAAAAACCAGUGUGUCACAGACAGCCGCUGGUUAUAGGCUCGCACACAGGAAUAUUCCUUGGGAAGAGAGAGAGAGAGAGAGAGAGAGAGACUAGAAAGUGGGGUAUGAGUUUUGUUGAGUGAGUGAAAAGCUUCCCCGUGGGUGGGCGCACGGAACUCUCUUCUUUAGAUUAAUCUUGUGGGCGACUUAGCAUAUUACUAUUCAUAAUAAUAUUCCAUUGCAUCUUAGUUUUCCUUGUGUCUUAUUCCAACAUUGCAAUUCUCUUUCUCCGAAAUACCCAUUCACCUCUUCAUCAUCAGUAAAAGUAGCCAUCUUCAUUAUCUUCACAGCUGAAGUAGUCAUGUUCCGAGUCUUGCUCAUCUUCACAUAGAUCAAUACAAUUAUCUCCAUCAAACCUCUCAUUAGCAUCUUCCAAGUCAUCGGAUUCAGACUCACCAUCUUCCGUAAAUAUAGACAAGUCUUCAUCAUCCUGUGUCAUUACCAGGUGGACCCCGAAGCUUUUUAAACACAGCGAAUCUAGUGUCAAAUUCAGAAAAUUAACUCGACACGCAAAAGGCGACCGCGGCCAGGUAAUCUGAUCAUCCCGGUAAAACAUUUCGCUGAAUCGAAUAUAGCACAGCCACACAUGACCUGACCCUAUACCAUGACCUGACCCGUUCUUUCUGAAAUCGGACGCAGUAAAAUAAGGUUCCACUCCUGGUUGAUUCACGGAAAUUUUUGUUACAAAACCAUUGUAACGUGGUCUUUUGUUUUGCGGGUUUUCACCAGCAGCGUAUAGAGCCAAUCCUUGGUUCUGGCAUUUGAAGUUUGGAGGGAUUUCAAUCAAAAAUUCACAUGCUUCAUCACGCUCCUUCACAUACUUAUGACAGCUGAACAACGUCGAGAGAGCUUCAAAACUUGCUGGAAAUACAACCUGAAAUCCAUGUUUCUGCGAAGACAGAAGGUGAUCAAAGAAGAUAGUGAUCUGCUCCUUUGCUAAAAUGUUUUGCUUCUUUCUGAGGUCACAAGCCAGAUUGCCGCAGAGUCUGUGGCAAUUACACAAGUCCACCAACUUAAUCAUUUGUGAGUCUUCUUUACCCUUCAGAAUGUUGGACAAUGAUGAAAACCUUUCCAAUGAUACGCAAUCACUUGCAUCUAACUUUACUAUUUUUGGUGGAAGUUCCGGAAUAUCUCUAAGCCUCUUGCAGCCAUGCAAGUAAAGAUACCGCAUAUUGACAAAUUUCGUAAUGCAUUUGGGAAUACUUACAAGGAAAUCACAUAGUGUUAGAUCAAGUUCGCUCAAUGUAGACACAUAAUCUUCAGACUUCACUUUAUUUGGAAAUGUAACAAGCUUUCGACUUCUUCGGAGACAAAUGCGGUUUAAAUGUUCCAACUCAUAAAUGCUGGGUGGCAGAUUCGUAAGAUUUUCACAACUGCUUAGGUGUAAUAACUCAAGAUUGAUGAGAUAUACAAUUGACGCUGGCAAUUCUUUGAUGCCACUACCAUGUAGAAACAUGUAACGUAAGGAAUCCAUCUUUCCCCCAAUAUCAGGGAAAGUCUCCAGUCUUCUGCAAAAUUGAAGAUUGAGAACUUCUAGAGAUUUUGACUUGAUUAUUGGAAAUAGUGUGAGGUUAUGGCAACACAUAAGACUCAAGUCCACAAGCUUAUCAUGAAAUCCAACAGAAGGAUGAACCUCAACUAAACUUCUGCAGUAGUCUAGAUUCAAGGACUGUAAGUUUGGAAUUCCAGAGAUAUUUGGGGUUUUUGUUAGGAGUUCACAGCUCCUAAAAUUCAUGGACGUCAAAUUUUGCAAACGCUAUAUAAGACAAAAAUAGAAAAGAAAAAGAAGGAUCAAACGAUAAGGCAUAAACAAGUUUAAGCCAUAACUCCAGAAACUUAAUAAACUUUUGAAAAUACGAAGGGAUGAAAAUAAUUUAAAUUACCUUGAAUCCCUCCCCAAGUUGUGACAAGCGGCUACAAGGCAUAUAAAGUUCAACAAGUUUCCUUGGAUUGAAAGUAGAUGGUAAAGUUUGUAGAGGACAACCAGGCCAAUGAAGAAACCUCAACUCAUUAGAUAGAUAAUCCACGUGAUCGCCAUAAAAUCGUGCAUUCACAUUGAUGAAAAGUCGAAGGUUUUUCAUCUUUGAGAAGCUGUCAUCACUCAAGCAUAUGUCAUCUGGUGUCGGAAACUUUGCUAUGAUGCCUUUAAUAUUGUUUGUUCCCUAUUAUUAUAAUUUUUUAAAAAGUAGUGUUAACAUACAAAUUUCAAUAGCAAAUAAAAAUGCAAGUGUACACACACACACACUUACUGUUCCUUCUGUUAGAACACGCACUACUACAAAAAAGCAAAAAGACGACGGUAAAUCACCGUCGUGUAUUCGGUUUUUCAAUGGUCGUGGAAUCCACCGUCAUCUUUUCCCUCAUAAACCACGACGCUAAAUCACCGUCGUUGUUAAAAUAUACAACGUCAUCAACAAAUACAAAACGACGUCUUUGUACUGCAAAAAGAUCUAAAAAAGCAGUCGAGGAUGAGAAUAGACGACCAACUCUCUAAAAAAACCGUCGUUAAAAAGGAAAAAUAUGACACAUAUUAAGAUAACAAGGCCGCAAGAUAGACAUACAAUGACGAAAAUAAAAAUACCACGCCGUUAAAUAUCAUUUUCACGACAAUAAAAAAUUUGACGUCUUUAAAUACAUUAGAAGACGACGUUAUUGAUACCUACUACGUCGCAUAUAUAAAAACAGCCGUCGUAAAAUUAAUUUUCCACUUCGAUUUUUCGAUAAAAGAUGACGUGGAAAUAGUUGUCAGUGUCAUUAUUUACGACGUAUGUAUUUAUAGAGUAGACGUUGAAAAACGAAACAACGUCAGUUACAAAUAUAUGAGAGUCGUAUUACAAAAUUUAUACGUCAUAUUUUCAGAAACAAACAACGACGAUAAAUAUUCAACGUUGUUAAAUAAACCAACGUCGGAAAACAAUAAAAACAGACGUGUUUAGUCUGCUAAAGUUCUAGAAAAUAGUCGAGGAUGAGAAUAGACGACCAACUCAAACAAAUCACCGUCGUUAAAAAGGAAAAAUAUGACACAUGUUAAAAGAACAAGGCCGCAAGAUAUACAUACAACGACGAAAACUAAAAUACUACGCUGUUAAAUAUAAUUUACACGACAAGAAAAAAUAUGACGUCUUUAAAUACAUGAGAAGACGACGUUAUUGAAAUAUACUACAUCUCUUAUUUACAAACAACCGUCGUGAAAUAAAUUUUCCACUUCGAUUUUUCUAAAAAAGAUGACGUGGAAAUAGUUGUCAGUGUCAUUAUUUACGACGUAUGUAUUUAUACAGUUGACGUUGAAAUGCGAAACAACGUCGGUGGCAUUUAUAUAGUCGACGUUGUAUUUAUAUCUAUCAUCAUUACUCACGACGCACUUAAUAAUAUAGACGACGUUGAACUUCUAAACAACGUCGGUUCCAAAUAAAUGAGAGCCGUAUUACAGAACAUAUAGACGGCGUUGAUUAUGAUGAGAGCCGUAUUACAAAUAACGUCGUUUAAUUGUUAUUAGACGGCGGUUAUAAUGAAUUUCCGUCGGAAUUCAUUUCGUUCCUCUUCGUUUAUAAAAGAACUUGCGACGUGGAAAAUGUAUGAUGACGUCGUAUUUUUUAACGUUCAGAUUAUAUAUCUCGUUUUUUAGACGUCGGUAUUAUGGGAUUGGAGUCGUGUUAUUUUGAAUUACAUGGCGGUUCUUAAUCCUUCCCCGACGUGAUAUCCUGAAUAAUUGCUUCACAAUAGCGUCGUGGUUCUUCAUUGUUACGUUGCUUUAAGACGUCGGUAAAUAUGCUGAAUAACUGGUUCACAAUAACGUCGUGUUUUAUUUGAACGUAGAAAGUGAAGAAAUCACAUUACAAUAUAUUACAAAAUUAAUGUCAUACACUGCCAAUUACAUAAGCAUCAUUCAAUCCAUAUAUCUUCACACCCAUCUCGAAUAUUUUGACCGCCUAACUCACCCACCAGUUCAUCAAAUGUGUCAACAUUUGGCAUCCCUCUAGUAAAUGGCUCACACUCAAUUAUCACAUCACCUAAGACUUCAUCACCAAUAACAUCAUUAUAUUCUCUAUUAGGCAUUGAUAACACUACCGACCAACUAUGAUGCAUCGGGUCGUCAACAAAAAAUAUUUGUUUGACUUGAGAAGCCAAAACAAAUUGGUCAUUCCUAUGUCCAAUUUUACUCAAAUCUACAAGGGUAAAUCCAAGUUCGUCGACUACAAGACCAGAACUAUCUAUCCAAUCACACCUAAAGACUGGGAUUGUAAACUUUUGGUAGUCAAGGUCCCAAAUUUCUUGAAUGACACCAUAGAAACCCAUAUUUGAGAGAAUUGGGUUUUUAUCCUUGGCACUAGCAACUUGCAUGGUAUGUGCAAGUAAAUAAACUCCACUAUUUUGAGUUGUCCGCACAUCAUCUUGUGCCUUGAUAUUGAAUUUAAUACCUUUAAUAAGAUAGCUCCUAUAUAAUGGCACUGACAUGUUUGGACCAGCUGCUAGCCACCUUAAAUUUUCUGAUACGCCGUGAUUGUCUUCCUCAAGUUCACUUUGAACCUGCAAAUUAAUCAUAUCUUAAUUCAAUCUAACAUAUAAAUAAGAAGAAAAUUAAAAGAGAAAUAUGUUAUUCAACAACAUAUACCUUGAAGCGUAGCCAUUGAAUGAAAGUGCUAUUGUGCUUAUCCUGCAGCCACUUUGUUCUCUUUCUAAAUUUUGGAUAAGCAAUCUUGAUGUGGAUCAUAUGUUGCCUACAUGACACGAAAAAUUCAAGCAUUACGGUCCCAAAUAUAGAAGAUAAACAUAAGAAAUAAUUUAAAAUGGAAACUUAAAGAAUAAAGCUCAUACGUACUCGAUAUAAGGUAGGACUUCCUCCGUAUUCUCCAAGACAUAUAGAUGUGCUUGAUUCAAUAGGUCCUGAUCAACUACGCUCACUGUGCAACCUGAUAAUGGCUUUGAAAGUCCCAUCUUUUGGCUUGAAGGCACUCCAACUGUACUAACAUCAGAUAAAUGCUGAGUACAAAACUCUACCGCUUCUUCAGCUAUAUACCGCUCAGCAAUGCAACCUUCGGGACGAGUACGAUUCUGAACAUACCCCUUCAGCACUUUCAUAUAUCUUUCAAACGGAUACAUCCACCUAAAAUAUACUGGCCCACAUAGACGAACUUCUCUGACAAGAUGUACUACUAGAUGAACCAUGAUAUCAAAGAAUGAAGGGGGAAAGUACUUCUCAAGCAAACACAGAGUAACUACUACAUCUUCUUCCAACUUAUCUAGCUUGGAAACAUCAACAGUCUUUGCACAUAUAGCAUUGAAGAAGAAGCACAAACGAGUUAUUGCAUACCUUGCAGGCUUCUCCAAAACAGAACGAAUUGCCACAGGGAGCAAUUGUUGCAUUAAGGUAUGACAAUCAUGUGAUUUAAGGCCAAGAAGUCUUGAAUCUUGUAAAGAUACAAGAUUUUUAAUAUUUGAAGAAUAACCUUCAGGGACCUUCAUACCAUAGAAAGAAUUGCAAACCUCUCUCUUCUCUGCUCUUGACAAAUUCCAAGGCCCAGGAGGCAAACGAGUACGUCUUUCUCCAUACUCGGGUUGCAAAUCAGUUUUGACCCCCAUGUUCAAUAAAUCUAAUCGAGCAGCAAUCCCAUCUUUAUUUUUUCCAGGGAUCUCCAGCAAUGUACCAAUGAUACUAUCGCAAACAUUCUUCUCAAUGUGCAUAACAUCUAGGGCAUGCCUCACAGGAAGGUAUUUCCAAUACUCGAGAUCAAAGAAUAUUGAUUUCUUCUUCCAACAAACUCUGUCACCAUUUUCAACCAUAUGCAGCACUUCUUCUCCGGUUAAUGGCUCGGGAGGUAUGCCAUAUUCAGGUUUCCCAUUAAAAGCUGCACGUUGCCUCCUAUAUGGAUGAUUGAUUGGUAACCAUUUUCUAUGCCCAAUGUAACAAAUUUUGUGGCCAUUUUUCAACCUGUGACUAGGUGUAUCAUCGCCGCAUAUUGGACAAGCUUUAUAUCCUUUAACAACACAACCAGAUAAGUUUCCAUAGGCGGGGAAAUCAUUAAUUGUCCACAUUAAUGCAGCUCUGAGUGUAAAGUAUUCUCCAUUAUGUGCAUCAUACACUCCUCUAAUCCCAACCCACAAGGAUUUUAAAUCAUCAAUCAAAGGCUCCAAGUAGACGUCUAUAUCAUUUCCGGGUUGUUUAGGACCGGAAAUCAAUAAGGUUAACAUCAUGAACUUUCGUUUCAUGCACAGCCAUGGAGGGAGAUUAUAUGUAACUAAGAUAACCGGCCAACAACUAUAUCUGCUACUUAGAGAACUGUGGGGGAUUGAAUCCAUCAGAUGAAAGAGCCAAUCUCAAGUUUCUCGGCUCAUUACCAAACUCAGGCCAUUUAUCAUCAAGAAGUUUCCAAGACGGGGAAUCCGCCGGAUGAGACAUCUGACCGUCAAUUGAUUUUCUAGCAGCAUGCCACCAAGUCAAACUCUUAGCUGUCUCAUGUGAUUGAAACAUCCUUUUAAACCUUGGAAUUGGGGGAAAAUACCACACCACCUUCGCUGGCACACCCUCUUUCAAGAUUGAAUCUUUGCCUUCCUUCCACCUUGAGAUACCACAAGUAGGACAAUUAGUUGAAUCCUCAUACUCCUUCCUAUACAAGAUGCAAUCAUUGGGGCAUGCGUGCAUUUUCUCAUAACUCAGCCCCAAUGCACACAAAGUCUUUUUAGCCUCAUACAUGGAGGUUGGUAUUGUAUUUCCUUCUGGAAGCAAAUCGCCUUGAAGUAUCAAUAAUUCUGUAAAACAGACAUCACUCAUCCCAUGUUUUGCCUUCAAAUUAUACAACUUCACUAAUGCCGAUAACUUCGUGUACUUUCUACAACCAGGGUACACUGGUUGAUCUCCAUCCCCAAUCACAUUGGCAAACUCAUACGGAUCCGAACCAAAAUCACCAAAAUCAUUAUCAUCCAUAUCAAUUUCUUCAGACACAAAACUGUACCUACUAUGGCCAUCAUCUUCUUCAACAUUUCUGCUAGCAUUAGUAGUUGCUUCCCAAGGUUCUCCGUGAAAUGUCCAAUUCUUAUAGCUUUGGUCAAUUCCAUUAAAGUAUAAGUGAUCCCUUAUAAUUCCAACCCCAAACAACUUCAAAUUAACACAUUUAACACAUGGACAACGGAUAUGUGUUGUAGUUAGAAGAUUUUCUACAGCAAAGUUCAAAAAUGCUUCCACCCCAACUCAUAUGCCUUCGAUCUUCUAUCCGAGUGCAUCCAUGACUUAUCCAUCUCCGACACUAUAACCUAUUAUCUAUAAUAAAGUGAAAAUACAGGCAAUGACCAUCACUAUAGCAGAUUAUACAAUGAUCUAAUCGCAAGUAAUACACAACAGAGACGACGGGUUUUAAACAAAAACAGACGUAUUUGGAAUAUAUAGACGACGGAUUUUCAACAGACGUCGUCUAUUAUAAGUAAUACAAACGACGGUUUAUGAAAAAACUAUCGUGUAUAAGUAAUACAACGACGGUAGUUUAAAAAAACCGUCGUGUAAUCGUCGUCGUAAGCCUUAAAAUUCGUCGUGUCUCAGUUUAUUUUCAAGAACACAAAACCCAUUAAGAACACAACAUAUAUAUGAAACCAAGCAAGAAACCAACAUAUACAUGAAACCAAGCAUGAAAACAAUAAAUCCAUUCCCAAUUCAACAUAACAUAGGGUGAUUAAAAGAUACGACAAAAUUAAAUCCAUUCCCAAUUCAACAUAACAGAUAAUGUAAUCCAUGAACCCAUUAAACAGAAAAUCCAUGAACCCAUACCUAUAAGCACAUUAUUAACAGAUCGCAAAGCAUACACAUAAAACCCUUUAACAAAACAACCUAAUAUAACUCGAAUCGUUACUAGAAUCAUCACUCGAAUCUCCAUCUUCAUUAUCAGUUUCUUCCUUCGUAGGUACUAUUUGCUCCCCAUCAUUGGUGCACUUUGCACCUUCUCCAGAGCGGAAAAUGACAAGAUCAAAUAAAGGUGUACUUUUGCUGGAAAUCAACACAAAAAGACACAGAUCAUCAACUUCCAAAUGAUUGUCACGCACAACGUCCAUCCAACCACGCCUGAAUUGUAUAAGUUUUACAAUGUUGGUUUGAGCAAAGGAAGGCCCAGAUCAGGCGNNNNNNNNNNNNNNNNNNNNNNNNNNNNNNNNNNNNNNNNNNNNNNNNNNNNNNNNNNNNNNNNNNNNNNNNNNNNNNNNNNNNNNNNNNNNNNNNNNNNAGCAUGAAACAAUAAAUCCAUUCCCAAUUCAACAUACAUAGGGUGAUUAAUAGAUACGACAAAAUUAAAUCCAUUCCUGGAUGGACGUUGUGCGUGACAAUCAUUUGGAAGUUGGUGAUCUGUGUCUUUUUGUGUUGAUUUCCAGCAAAAGUACACCUUUAUUUGAUCUUGUCAUGAACCCCUUUAACAAAACAACCUAAUAUCAUUCAAUGAAUUUACAAGGGGAAGAUAGGGUUUGUACUUACAGGUUGGACGAGCUCACAGAUUCGACGGAGCCUGGAGAGUGCAACUUUUAAUUAGAGCAGAAGUGAGAGAGCGAAAUGUUAUGUCGCGCGAAAUCUGAAAAUUUUAGGUUUCAGGGUUCGAAGUAUAAGAAUAAGAGCCAAAUCUAAAAAAAUUUAGGUCGCGCGAAAAUUUUUAGAGCUCGCGCGUUUUAAAACGUCGAAAGAAAAACCAAGGCGAAAGUUCUACAAGUACCGACGUAAAUUUAAUAUUCCACGACGGAAACUUCAUUUUUCGAAUUAAGAACGUAAGGCCGUUCAUUUUGAAGCUUCAUUUUUCGGAUUAAUUUUAAAUUUAUUUUGAAUUUUUUAUAUAACGACGACUGAAAAACCACGUCGGUGUUAAGAAAUUAAAGACGUUGUAAAUCAUAUAAACCGACUUACAUAUUAAAAUGACGUCGUUUAAAGCGUAAACCAUGUCGUAUGUUUUUCUGUACGACGUAAAAUAUGUAUUCCACGACGCAACCACCGUCGUUAAAAAUUAAUACCCUAAACCCAUAAAACUAAAUUAUACAAUUUAAAAAAUUAAGUUUAUAAAAGGUUUUAUGGUUUUAAAGCCUAACAUAUACCCUAGACUACCCAAAAAUUAUACUUUAAAAAUAAACCCCAAUAAAUAACAACCCUAAUCUCUAAACCCUAGACUCUAAACCCUAAACCAUAAAACUAGAAGUGAUUUUAUGACUCAUCAAAACAAUUUUGUUUUGGAUGGUCAUUUUAAAUUUUUGUUAUUCAAAAUGAAUUUUUUCAAGGUUUAUGUGGAAGAAAAUAUAUCAAUGACUUCAUAGGAGUGGACUUUUCAAUUUUCUGAUUUAUUUUAAAUUUAUUUUGAAUAUUUUGAUAUAAAAAUAAUAAAAUAUUCUUACCACAACAACAAACCACGUCGGUGUUAAUAAAUUGUAGACGUUGUAAAUUGUAAUAAACUACUAAGUCGUUAAAAUGAGUCGUUAAAAUGAGAAACCAUGGCAGCUAUUUAACUAUACGACGUAAAAUAUAUAUUCCACGACUUAACCGCUGUCGUUACAUAAACGAUAAACGACUAUUAGGGUUGUAAACCAUAAACGACUCAAUUGUUCAAAGAACGUCGUCUAACUAUAUUUUUACGUCGUAUUUGUUUAAAACACGAAACAACAAAAUACGACGGUUUUUGACUUUAUUAGGUCGUUGGAAAAGUAUUACACGUCGGUUAAGCAAUUUGUAUGUUUGUUUUUUUUUUAAUUUAAGAAAACCUCAACAAAUUUUUACAUUACAUAUUAUAGAGAAAAUUUGUACAUUAUACAUAAAUAUCAAGUGUUCAAUAAUUGCCCUGUUUAAUAAUUUGGAAAACAAACUCUGCCCAUUCAUUCCGGACUUCAUCAAUGGCUUCUUGGGGGUAUGAAGCUUCCUGGUUUCCCUUGGCAUACUGCAUAAACAAUGACUAUUAGGGUUUAUAAAUAAAAAGAAAUUCAAUCACAGACAACGAUAUUUUUCAUAACCGACGUAGUAUAUCCAUUCAACGACGUUAAUUUUACAUGACCGUCGUUGAUAAUACAAAAAACGACGUGAAAUGUAUGAAGGUAAUUUCUUCUUACCUUAUUCUCAAACCCCAAGGAAGGAUCCAUGAUGAUGUCCCUCAUGAAGCGCAUCACAUAAUACCCGCAUUCGACAUUGCUGGGUUGCUUUGGUGUGCCUGAGAGAGUUUUCCAAAUUACAUUUUUACGUCCUGCUCGGCCUAUGUGGGUAUUAUAUAUUUUUAAAGCACUGUUCACGAUGUUUUUCGCCUCUUCGUCGACCACACGAUGACCUGGCAGAGGAUCCAGAAAAUAGACGGUCUCCUUCUUUGCUCUUACAAUCAGCAAGAUCCAAUGACGGCUGCACAAAAUUAAUAUAAAAACGACGGUUAUUUACAAAAACGACGUAUUAUAGUAUUUCACACGACGAAAUAAAGUAGAUAACGACGACAUUAUAUAUUUAUCACGACGAUAAAUAAAUACCGACGUGGUUAGUAGUUUCAAACGACUAAAUAAAAUAAAACACCGACGUGGUUAGUUUAUAUGCUGUCAUUUAUUGAAAAUCAUAAAAACAAAAUCCUAAGGAGACUAACCCUGGAUUGUAAGGCAUCAUGAAAAUCUGUUCACCGUCUGUCUUCUGAAGUCGAGCUGCUACCAGUCGUGAUCUUUCAGUUAUUGUGCCAGAGUUGGCACUAACUGUAGCAGGGUCGAUAAAGCCAACCAUGCUGCACAUAUUGGCUUGUUUCAAAACAUCGUGUAAGUACCUAAAUACAUAAAAUAAUAUAAACAAGUCAGCACAAACAAACACGACGGUUAUGUAUAAAAAAACGACGUAUUAUAAUAUUUCACACGACGUACUGAAAUAGAUGAGGACGUUAUAAUAUAUUUAUCACGACGGUAGUUAGUUAAGACGACGUGGUUAGUUAGUUAAGACGACGCAAUAUAUAAACCAACGAGGUAUUAUUUUAGAAGUACAAACCUCAUAUAUACAGCCAAUACAGUAGCUCCAAUUUCUUCCAUGCCUGCAAAUUGUGUAAUAUCUUCAGGCAGGAGGAAGGUAUCGCGCUCACCACCAAACACCUCAUUAUCAAUUGUAAAUUAGAGUGUCUUAUCCUCAGGCAGGAGUGUCGUUUCCACAAAACGACAAAGGGUUUUUAAAGAAGAUGGCGCCUCCAUAUUUGAAUAAGCACCAACUUCAAUAACCUGUUUAAAGAAAUAAAAAAAAUGACGUGGUAAUUCAAUAAAGACGACGGUUUAAGGAAUAAAACGUCGUCUUAAAAGUAUUUAAACGACGGUGAAAAAACUGUCGUGGUAAUUCAAUAAAGACGACGGUUUUAUGAAUAAAGCAUCGUCUGAAACCAUUUAAACGACGGUGCAAAAACCGUCGUUUAAAUAUUUUAUUACGUCUUAAAAAAAGUCCGCCGUCUAAGUUUUAAACAAACGACGGAUUAAAUAAAAAUAUCGACGUCUGAAAUUUUGAAAAACAAAUAAAAAAGGCAAAGUUAUGUGAACAUACCUUGUCGUCAUGCUUUUCUUCAUCUUCUUUCUCCUUUUCUUCUUCCUUCUCUUCAUCUCUUUUUUCUUCUUCCUUCUCUUCAUCUGGCUGAUGUUUCCCCAUUUUGGCAGUAUCAUCCUCCAAAUGUAGGGAUCUCACAUCACCUCCAGAGCAGCUAGCUUUGUCAGACAUUGGAUUUUUGGGGCUUUGGCUAAUUCUUGGUUUAAGCAUGCUUGGAUCAAAAUUGGGAAUUAAUUGGGAAAGCUGACUCAGGAAAUGCUCCCUCUCAGCCUCUACCAAUUGUUUUGUCCUAGCCUCCAUCCUUAAGGCCUCUUCCCUUGCCUUAGCCUCCAUCUUUUUAGUCUCUUCUUGAAGGAGAACUCUUAAACUGUCCUUCAAACGGUCGUCAAAGCUCACCCUCUGUGGUUUAGGCAAAUUGAAAUAUUGCCUUGGGGGAAACACCAGCACCAACUCCCUUCACUCUGCCAGGAUGCUCGGGGCCCAAAGCCAUGGUCAGCACAUCAUUGCUGCCAUCUACUCUGACUUUGCCUUCCGAGACUUGUUUCUGAAAUUCAUCCUAAAAAAAGAUAAACAAAAAAACACACGACGGUUAUUUAUGUACAAACGACGUAUUAUAUAAUUUCACACGACGCAAUAACGUAUAAACCGACGUUAUUAUAACUUAUCACGACGGUAGUUAUACCGACGUGGUUAUUUAUUUAAAACGACGAAAUGAAUAAACUACCGACGUCUUAUGCUAUAAUUAAAGAAAACAGAGUAGUGAUUCCUAUUUAGACCGUUAACGACGUUUUUAAAAAAGUUUCGACGUGGUAAUAUCAUUCAAACGACGCCAAAAUGAACCACCGACGUCUUAUGCUAUAAUUACAGAAAACAUAGUAGUGAUUCCUAUUUAGACCUUUAACGACGUUUUUAAAAACUUCUCGACGUGGUAAUAUCAUUCACACGACAGAAAAUAUAACAUACGACGUAAUAAGAAUAAUUCACAGUUUAAUAAAAAUUUAAAACAGAGUGAUAGUAGGCUUACAAUUAAUUUUGCUUUCUCUGCCACCUUUGGAUCAGGGAUGUUACCAUGUUUGUCCUGUCUAGCUCUCUUCCAUAAGGUAGAUCGAUCAAUUUCUACCCAGGCAUGGUUUCCUCCAAUUGAUCCUCCAAUCCAGCAUAUCCUUUUCGAGACAAUCGAUGAUUGUACUCGAGUUUCUCCCUAAUCUGUGCAUGUUGAGAAUGCACAGACUCAAAAUCUUUGGAUAGCCUUGAAGCUACAAAGGCAUCCCAUUGUGCUUUCUCUAUGAAUUUAUAUGUUUCAGGGGGUUGGCUUAAUUUCUCCCUGUCAUUGGUGUAUGGAAGGAUAUAAUGCCUCGUUAGUGUAGACUUGAAAUCCUUCCAUUUCUUGGAAGCAGAAGCUAAAACAGAGGUCUUGCCCCCUUGGCCUACGACAAAAGCCAUGUCAACUGCUUCCCAAAUCUGCUCCUUUAUAUCCUUGGAGAUUUGGGACCAUUUCUUGUCCACAAGUGGGAUCCUGGAGCGUGCCAACACACCAAUAUACGACUGCAUCUCAAUAUGUGCUUGGCUAACACCUUUUCCCCUUUUAUUGUACUCAACAAUUGGCCUCAGUUUCUGAAGCUUUCUCUUCACAACACGAGGCAUUGUGCUCAUACCUCGACCAGUCUUUGAAUCAUCAGAGAUUGUUGUCUGGCUGGUUGGUUCUGUCUCAGCAGAUGAUGAAGCAAACUUCAUCUUCUUCGAAGACUUCAUCUCCUUCGAAGACUUGUCUUGAGGAGCUACCAUUCCAAGCUUCUUGGAGCCAGAAUCCUUAGUUUGUUGUUGAGAAACCAUUUUAACAGACAAAACUGCAAGUGAAAAUAUUUCAGGAAAACAUUAAGAACACAAACGACGGUAUUAAAAAAAUACGACGUCUGAUAUGAUUUUAGACGACGCAAUGAAAUAAUCUCAGACGUAAUAAAUGUUUAAAACCAUUAUUUAUAUAACGUCGUGGUAUAUAUGUUCACACGACGUCAAUAGUAAUACACCGUCGUGGUAAACUAUUAUUUAUAUAACGUCGUGGUAUUUAUGUUCAUAAGACGUCAAUAGUAAUACACCGUCGUGGUAUUAACAUUCACACGACGUAAAACAAUAAGAUAUUUUGUCGUCUAUAUUAGAUACCAACCCUAGUUUCUUUUUCUUUAUAUUUUAUCAAAUAAGGGAAAAACAAAAACCAUUGUUCAGAGAAAUCAAACCUGCAAUUAAACAAGCAUAUAAAAAAAGACUAUUAUUUUAAAAACAACUUUGUCAAUUUUCAGACGACGCUAGAACAACUGACGAACCGUCGUGGUCUACCGUCGUCUUAUUUAGUUGAGGUAGUUGUCUUCAAAGUUGGAAACUUUCCCUCUUUGUCUGUAUAUUUUAUCAAACUUGGAAAGAAGUAAAAUGAUUUUGGCCAGAAAAAAGGUAAAAAGAUUUUUCAAACAAAAAACGUAUGAGCAUGCAAAACAGUAACCAAAAUAGUGAAAAUGAAAGCUUACCUUUUGCGUGCAAUGAAAGCAAGAGGAAGAUGAUCGAUGUUUAAGUUCAGAGACGACGAAGAAGACGAGAGGAAGACGAUGAGAAACUCUGACAAUGCUCUGACAAGGAAAAAAGACGAAAAGGUUUCUCUGGGAGAUUGAAAUUUUUAAUCGGGUUUGGAAACAGUGCAUGUGUAAGUCGAAAAGUUGCUUACAUAUAAAACCAUUUCAAAAAAAUAAUACGGCGGUUACAUUUAACUACGUCGUUUUUAACUAAAACGACGCAAUAUUUUUCAUUCGACGUGGAAUCAUUUCAUUUAACGUCGUUAGGUUUAAUAUAACCGACGUGGAUUUUAAUUUUUAAAUUAUGAAUAGAAUUUUUUUUCCCGUGACCUUUCAGUUUAUUUUUCAAUUACAGUGCGUUAUAAAUAGAGUUUUUUUUCCGGAGGAAAUUUAAAACGAAGGAAAUUAAUAUUCUGCAAUAUGUAAAGUUUCUUUUUUGGAUGACAGAUUUAAAUAAAAUAAGAAUAUAAAAACAACAAAUGUGUAAGUCAAGUAGACGAAAAGUUGCUUACAUAUAAAACCAUUUCAAAAAAAUAAUAUGGCGGUUACAUAUAACUACGACGUAUAAAUUACAAAAUACGACGGUACAUUUAACUUCGGACGUGGUAAAUAAAUACGACAGUAGUUUGUAGGUACCGUCGUAGUAAACUCAAAAAUUAAAGUACAUAAGUAAUAACUCGCGUCAUGGUAGAUUAUUUAACACGUCGUCUUUAUUAAUUUACCGACGUGGAUUUCUGUAAUAUACGUCGAUCAUACCGACGUUGAUUUUACAAUUUAAACGGCGGUUUUUUUGUAAGGACCGCCGUUGGUUUUAAAAAUUUAUUCUAUAAAUUUGUCGCUUUCAUUCAUUUUCGGUUUACAUUUAAGGUUCCAAGUUCUUCCUCUCUCAGUCUCUCAUGUCUCAAAGACAAUAAUUUGGAUGUUUUCUCAAAGAGAAAUUGAGCUUACUCGCAUCAAAUAUAUGUCCACAAGAAGAAGCUUGUCAACUAGCCUUCUCACUUCCUUGAUCAAGCCUGAUAGGACACUUAAUGCUUCUGAAUACUCCUUGCUUUCCAUCAAAAGAGAUGCAAGCCUGGCCUCCACUCGCUGUCGAAGGAAAGUUCGCUUCUCAGGGAAAUCUGAAGAUCAGAUGUGCCUGAUCCUCUGCUUGAUUUUCUUGCCUAAGAAGAUCCGUCGGAUUUGUGAUAGCCUCUUCCUUUAUCCGUAGAGCUUCAGAAGAAGAAGAUGGGUUUCAAGAAUGCGAUAAAGAAUAGAAAUGGCUUCAGAUGGCCUCUAAAGCAUGAGCAAUUGAAUCAGUAGUUUCUGGGAGAUAUGAUGAAGACAUUGUCAAUGCUUUGAACUAUACAAGUCCUGCAAAAAGAUAUGUUAAAGAAACUGAAACAACGGCGGUUUUCUGUUCUACCGUCGUCUUUUCUCGUCGUCUAUAUUAAGUUAAGAUGGCGGUAGAUUUAUAAUUACCGACGUAGAUUAUUUUGUUAAACGUCGUUAAGUGUAUUACAACCGACGUGGAUUUUAUUUUUAAAUUAUAAAUAGAGUUUUUUUUCCCGUAUUCUUUCAGUUUUAGUUUUCAAUUCCAAAGCGUGAUAAAUAGAUUUUUCUUUCCCGAGGAAAUUUAAAAUGAGGGAAAUUAAUGUUCUAGAAUUUGUAAACUAACACGACGCAAUAUUUGCAAAUCUGUGUCAUCUGUUAAGAUUAUGAUGUGGAACAGAGUUCCAUCUGGUAAGAUUUCGUAACCCUUGGGAUCUCAGACAAAUCUGAUUAUGUCAGCGGUGUUCUAUAUAAACCGUCGUGGUUAUUUCAAUUCUUGUCAUUAAGUAGAUCUACCGACGUAGGAUAAGAAAAUCAAAGAAAAAAAUUGUUAACAAAAAUUCUUAUUAAGACGACCGUUAAAAUUAAAGGUACGACGUAUAAAAUGAAUAAAUACGACGAUAAAUUUUAUUGUACGAUUUAAAGAUAACGUCGUAGAACUAUACGAGAAUGACGUCGAUAUAUUUAUAUUUUCCGUCGUUGUAAAUUUAUUUAAUACGGCGAUAUUUUGUAUUUUAAAGCCGUGGAUUUGUUUGUAAUUAUACGGCGUCUUAUACGAAAACCUCGUCGUGUUAUUUUAUGAGUAAAAACGGCAGUUUUUAUUGAAAUCGUCGUCUUUACUUUCUACGUCGGUCGAUUCAUAACUUCUGCCGUUCUUUGUUGGCAUUGAUUUUACACUGCGGAAAUCUGUUUCAAAUAGACGUUGGUUGUUUAAUUAUGUACGUCGUUGUUUUUGAACAGCCAUUUGAAACUCCAUUUUUUAGUUGUCUAAGGUUGUAUUACACGACGGUGUUUUUAGAACCGUCGUCUUUUUAUAAACCACGACGGUUUUCACUUAGACCGUCGUUGUUUUCUAGUCGUCUUUUUCACUUUUUGUAGUAGUGACGAUAAACAUCCUCGUGAAACCACAAUCUGCUACGUUCACCAGGCUCAUUUGGUGACUCUUGAUAAACUAAUCCUCUACCCAAUUCUUCAAGCAAGUCAUGCAUCCCAAUUGUGCCAUGCUCAAUAUUUAUGAGGGCCUUGUCUACGAGUACUUUAAUAGCAUACUUAGGCUUGAGGUCACAACCUUCCAGGAUCGGUAUCACAUUGUACACCUUUCUACCUUUAAAGAAACAUGCUAUGUCAAGGAAAACUUCUUGCACUGAAUAUUCCAAUGCAUCAUAGCUUAUUUUGAGAGUUUUUUUAAUGUCCGAGUGCAGAUUCCCAUCCAAUGCAUCAUGUCACUCAUCUAUACUUCUACCACAUAGAUGAGAACCUAAAACCUUGAGAGCUAAAGGAAGACCUUGAGCAUGCUUCACCACAGUUUCUGCAGCUUUCACAUAAUCAUCAUCCAAAUUUUUAUUUCUCCCACCAUUCCAACUAAUGAAGAGAUCAAGAGAUUCACCAAAGUCUAAUUUCUUGGCCUUGUAUAUUAUACUAACUUGAUGAGAAGUUAGCAAAUGCUUAUCUCUUGUCGUUAUGAUAAUUCUACUGCCCAAACCAAACCAAUCACAACCUCCAACUAAGUUGUUUAACUGGUCCAAAUGAUCCACAUCAUCUACAAUUACAAGGACCUUUUUACGACUCAACCUUUCCUUUAUCACAUUGAUUCCUUUAUCGGCACUGGUAACCUUUAUGGUCGCUUACUGAAAAAAGCUAGUCAUGAAGUUUUCAGGGGGAGAUAUUCAUCAGGGGGAGCAUGGUAUUAAUAAAGACCUUCACACACUGUACUCUUUUUCCUUCAUCCAGGUUUUUAUCCCACUGGGUUUUUCCUGGUAAAGUUUUAACGAGGCAGUAUCGCUGAAGAUUGACUCACAGAAGCAGUGUCAACUACGAUAUUCAGAAAGAUGAUCAACAGUAUGGCUUAAAGAUAUUUUGCCAAGCAUCAGGGGGAGCGUGCUACCAAUAAAGAUCUUCAAACACUGUACUCUUUUUCCUUCGUCCAGGUUUUUAUCCCACUGGGUUUUUCCUGGCAAGGUUUUAACGAGGCAGUGUCGCACGCGUGUCAAUAUACACAGAAUUUUAUGUUACACAUGAUUAUGUACUCUUUUUCCCUUUGACCAGUUUUUGUCCCAUUGGAUUUUUACUGGCAAGGUUUUUAACGAGGCAUAUUCCAUAUCAUUUGUGGUCUCCAAGGGGGAGUGUUGUAAAUAAUAAGGUGGAGCCCACCUCCAAUUGAAAGAGGCUUUGCCUACAAAAGGGUUCACACCAUUCCUUUGUAAUUUGAGAUUGAUAAUACUAAGAGAGGAAUCCUACUGUUUCCUCCUAUCUCAAUUCCCUCUCCACUUUCUCUAGAUUUAUAACAUUUUCAACAUUUUUCAUGUAUUUUUCGGUUUCAUAUCGUGAUAUAUUGCCCAAAUAAUGCAUGAAAAAUGUUGAAAUUAUCGUCUACGACAUUAUCCCGAUAAUAUCGACAAAAAUAUUGAUAUAUUGACGAUAAUUAAGUGGAUAUGUGCAAAAAUAUCUCCCACUCAAAAAAGAAUUGACGAUAUUUAAUACUAUGGUUGUGAUCAAUGUUAUGGCUAGUACCCAAUGUUAUAUAACUCGCAAGAAAGAAUUCAACCUACCCGUAGUUUAGACAGUAACUAUUUAAUUAAAGAUUACAAUCUGGUUUGGUUAAGUUAACUGACUAUAUAUAUUCUGGAAAAAAAAAAACUGACUAUAUAUAUAUUUAUAAAUAAAUAAAAACAACUUGUGUACUUUGUUUUUGUUUGUUUAUUUGUUAAAAAAUAAUAUAUGGUUUAAUGGGUUGUCUUGUUAAGGGAAAGCAAUAAUUUAAACUUUUGGAAAAACAAUAAUCCCAAAUGUAAGAACCAUUCAUCCACUAAUAGCUUGCAAAAAUAUAAUUUAAAUGGAAAAACAAAAAACAAAUACACUAGUAAUAAGUUGGGAGAUUCAUUAUAAUACCCAAUAUAGGAGUCCAAAUUAUAAAAAAAGCCCUAUAUGAAAUAGACUUUAGAAACACACCAAAAGCUCAUUUACAACAUAACAAAAAGGCUUUUAACUUCUUUUAAAUUACAAUAUUGCCAUUGAUUUCUUAAAACAAACCCAGCCCAAAAACCUCAUAAAAAAGCCCAAAACACUCAAUGGGGCAUCGAAGUAAUUUAAUGAUUAUAAUUAAAUUCAACAGGGUCUGCUGUCAUUUUUUGGGUUUUUUUUGAGUAUGUUUAUAGAAAUUAAAUAGUGUAGGAUUUAUUUAUAGUUUUAGUGCUAAGAAUGAGUAUUUGACUAAAUAUUUCUAAUGAGUUUAUGUAUCUACUAAAACUUAAUUACAUGGAGGCAAUCUAAUGGAUCACUAAUGAUUUUUUAAUCAAAACAACCUAGUUAUAUAUAAUUACUGAAAAAAAUAAUAAUCUCAUUUUUCACGGCCCGAGAAGCGAGCAAAGGUCCUUCAACAAGUUAAACAUGUUUAGAAGGUGUCACCAAGGCACAAAACGGUCCAUAAGCAAACGAACUUUGGCAUCUGAAAGCGUAGAGGAAUCCAAGUCCCUCUGAAUCUGAGCCAUUCUGCUGCUCUCUUUUCUUGCUUCUUUCAACACUUGUCGUUGUUCUUCAACCUCAUCAUCACCUUCUCCUUGCUUGGCCUUUGAUGAAAACACCAUUCGCUUCUUAGCCCCCACCUUGUCUUUCAGCUUUGCCAACUCGCUCAUCCAAACCUCCACCACUGCAGACAUGCUUGAACUUGAAAACUUGAAAUUCUGGCUUGGUCUUGAAUCUUGAGUUUGAUCAAGGAUGAUGAGGAGAGCUGGCUAUUAUGGUUGUUGGUUAUAUAGAAGACAGAGAGAGAGAAAGAGGGCCUUGCCCUUCAUGUGGUUUGGAUUGGAUGAAAAAUCAGUUUGUCACAGACAGCCGUUGGUUAUAGGCUCGCACACAGGAUUAAGUUUUAGGAAUCUUCCUUGGAAAGAGAGAGAGAGAGAGAGAGAGAGAGAGAGACAAGAAAGGGGUAUGAGUUUUGUUGUGUGAAUGAAAAGCUUCCCCGCGGGCGGGCGACUUGGCAUAUCAUCAAUAGUAUUCCAUUGCGAAUCUCUUUCUCCGAAAUACCUAUUCACCUCUUCAUCAUCAUCUUCAGUAAAAGUAGCCAUCUUCAUUAUCUUCACAGCUGAAGUAGUCAGGUUCCGAGUCUUGCUCAUCUUCACAUAGAUCAACACAAUUAUCUCCAUCAAACCUCUCAUUAGCAUCUUCCAAGUUAUCGGAUUCAGACUCACCAUCUUCCGUAAAUAUAGACAGGUCUUCAUCAUCCUGUGUCAUUACCAGGUGGACCCCGAAGCUUUUAAAAUGCAGCGAAUCUUGUGUCAAAUUCUGGAAAUUAACUCGACACGCAAAAGGCGACUGCGGCCAG
Molecule: long non-coding RNA, 35432 nt
Filed under: Prunus persica (peach)
Lineage: Eukaryota; Viridiplantae; Streptophyta; Magnoliopsida; Rosales; Rosaceae
Description: long non-coding RNA (PPER_LNC008340)
Source: RNAcentral